Molecule: transfer RNA, 87 nt
Filed under: Ferrimonas sediminicola
Lineage: Bacteria; Pseudomonadati; Pseudomonadota; Gammaproteobacteria; Alteromonadales; Ferrimonadaceae
Also listed under: 1 other name
Description: Ferrimonas sp. IMCC35001 tRNA-Leu
Rfam family: tRNA
About the family: Transfer RNA (tRNA) molecules are approximately 80 nucleotides in length.
Source: RNAcentral
GCAGAAGUGGCGGAAUUGGUAGACGCGCUAGCUUCAGGUGCUAGUGUCCGUUAGGACGUGAGAGUUCAAGUCUCUCCUUCUGCACCA